Molecule: ribosomal RNA, 1025 nt
Filed under: Salmonella enterica
Lineage: Bacteria; Pseudomonadati; Pseudomonadota; Gammaproteobacteria; Enterobacterales; Enterobacteriaceae
Description: partial 23S ribosomal RNA
Rfam family: Bacterial large subunit ribosomal RNA
Source: RNAcentral
GACCCGAAACCCGGUGAUCUAGCCAUGGGCAGGUUGAAGGUUGGGUAACACUAACUGGAGGACCGAACCGACUAAUGUUGAAAAAUUAGCGGAUGACCUGUGGCUGGGGGUGAAAGGCCAAUCAAACCGGGAGAUAGCUGGUUCUCCCCGAAAGCUAUUUAGGUAGCGCCUCGUGAAUUCAUCUCCGGGGGUAGAGCACUGUUUCGGCUAGGGGGCCAUCCCGGCUUACCAACCCGAUGCAAACUGCGAAUACCGGAGAAUGUUAUCACGGGAGACACACGGCGGGUGCUAACGUCCGUCGUGAAGAGGGAAACAACCCAGACCGCCAGCUAAGGUCCCAAAGUCAUGGUUAAGUGGGAAACGAUGUGGGAAGGCCCAGACAGCCAGGAUGUUGGCUUAGAAGCAGCCAUCAUUUAAAGAAAGCGUAAUAGCUCACUGGUCGAGUCGGCCUGCGCGGAAGAUGUAACGGGGCUAAACCAUGCACCGAAGCUGCGGCAGCGACACUAUGUGUUGUUGGGUAGGGGAGCGUUCUGUAAGCCUGUGAAGGUGGCCUGUGAGGGUUGCUGGAGGUAUCAGAAGUGCGAAUGCUGACAUAAGUAACGAUAAAGCGGGUGAAAAGCCCGCUCGCCGGAAGACCAAGGGUUCCUGUCCAACGUUAAUCGGGGCAGGGUGAGUCGACCCCUAAGGCGAGGCCGAAAGGCGUAGUCGAUGGGAAACGGGUUAAUAUUCCCGUACUUGGUGUUACUGCGAAGGGGGGACGGAGAAGGCUAUGUUGGCCGGGCGACGGUUGUCCCGGUUUAAGCGUGUAGGUGUGUGUUCCAGGUAAAUCCGGUUCACUUUAACACUGAGGCGUGAUGACGAGGCACUACGGUGCUGAAGCAACAAAUGCCCUGCUUCCAGGAAAAGCCUCUAAGCAUCAGGUAACAUCAAAUCGUACCCCAAACCGACACAGGUGGUCAGGUAGAGAAUACCAAGGCGCUUGAGAGAACUCGGGUGAAGGAACUAGGCAAAAUGGUGCCGUAACU